This 1000-nucleotide ribosomal RNA is filed under the name Chryseobacterium sp. RNAcentral's name for it is "bacterial SSU rRNA". It matches the Rfam family "Bacterial small subunit ribosomal RNA", at positions 33 to 1055 of the family's 1533-position model. The record is from RNAcentral. Lineage: Bacteria; Pseudomonadati; Bacteroidota; Flavobacteriia; Flavobacteriales; Weeksellaceae.
GCGCAUGCGAUAGCUACCAUGCAGCUKARCGGUUCGUUUCCUUCSGGAGACUGAKAGCGGCGCACGGGUGCKGAACACGUGUGCWACCUGCCUUUAUCARGGGGAUASCCUUUCGAAAGGAAKAUUAAUACCCCAUAAUAUAUUGAGUGGCAUCACUUGAUAUUGAAAACUCCGGUGGAUAGAGAUGGGCACGCGCACGAUUARAUAGUUGGUAGGGUAACGGCCUACCMAGUCAACUGUCCUUAGGGGGCCUGAGAGGGUGAUCCCCCACACUGGUACUGAGACACGGACCAGACUCCUACGGGAGGCAGCAGUGAGGAAUAUUGGACAAUGGGUGAGAGCCUGAUCCAGCCAUCCCGCGUGAAGGACGACGGCCCUAUGGGUUGUAAACUUCUUUUGUAUAGGGAUAAACCUACUCUCGUGAGAGUAGCUGAAGGUACUAUACGAAUAAGCACCGGCUAACUCCGUGCCAGCAGCCGCGGUAAUACGGAGGGUGCAAGCGUUAUCCGGAUUUAUUGGGUUUAAAGGGUCCGUAGGCUGAUUUGUAAGUCAGUGGUGAAAUCUCACAGCUCAACUGUGAAACUGCCAUUGAUACUGCAAGUCUUGAGUGUUGUUGAAGUAGCUGGAAUAAGUAGUGUAGCGGUGAAAUGCAUAGAUAUUACUUAGAACACCAAUUGCGAAGGCAGGUUACUAAGCAACAACUGACGCUGAUGGACGAAAGCGUGGGGAGCGAACAGGAUUAGAUACCCUGGUAGUCCACGCCGUAAACGAUGCUAACUCGUUUUUGGGUUUUCGGAUUCAGAGACUAAGCGAAAGUGAUAAGUUAGCCACCUGGGGAGUACGUUCGCAGAAUGAAACUCAAAGGAAUUGACGGGGCCCGCACAGCGGUGGAUUAUGUGGUUUAAUUCGAUGAUACGCGAGGAACCUUACCAAGGCUUAAUGGGAAUUGACAGGUUAGAAUAGACUUUCUUCGGACAUUUCAAGUGCUGCAUGGUGUCGU